CUAGGGGGUGCUUCCAUCUGGAAGAAUCUGGAGACAGGUGCUGCAUGGCUGUCGUCAGCUCGUGUCGUGAGAUGUUGGGUUAAGUCCCGCAACGAGCGCAACCCUUGCCUUUAGUUGCCAGCAGUUCGGCUGGGCACUCUAAAGGGACUGCCGGUGUUAAACCGGAGGAAGGUGGGGAUGACGUCAAGUCCUCGUGGCCUUUAUGACCAGGGCUACACACGUACUACAAUGGCCGAUACAAAGGGCAGCGACACUGCGAGGUGAAGCCAAUCCCGUAAAAUCGGUCUCAGUCCGGAUUGGAGUCUGCAACUCGACUCCAUGAAGUUGGAAUCGCUAGUAAUCGUGGAUCAGCAUGCCACGGUGAAUACGUUCCCGGGCCUU
Molecule: ribosomal RNA, 381 nt
Filed under: uncultured Desulfobulbus sp.
Lineage: Bacteria; Pseudomonadati; Thermodesulfobacteriota; Desulfobulbia; Desulfobulbales; Desulfobulbaceae
Description: bacterial SSU rRNA
Rfam family: Bacterial small subunit ribosomal RNA
Source: RNAcentral